AGCGAACGCUGGCGGCAGGCUUAACACAUGCAAGUCGAGCGGGCACUUUCGGGUGUCCGCGGCGGACGGGUGAGUAACGCGUGGGAACGUGCCCUCUGGUUCGGAAUAACUCAGGGAAACUUGAGCUAAUACCGGAUACGCCCUUUUGGGGAAAGGCUUGCUGCCGGAGGAUCGGCCCGCGUCUGAUUAGCUAGUUGGUGGGGUAACGGCUCACCAAGGCGACGAUCAGUAGCUGGUCUGAGAGGAUGAUCAGCCACACUGGGACUGAGACACGGCCCAGACUCCUACGGGAGGCAGCAGUGGGGAAUAUUGGACAAUGGGCGCAAGCCUGAUCCAGCCAUGCCGCGUGAGUGAUGAAGGCCUUAGGGUUGUAAAGCUCUUUUAUCCGGGACGAUAAUGACGGUACCGGAGGAAUAAGCCCCGGCUAACUUCGUG
RNAcentral lists this ribosomal RNA (435 nucleotides) under uncultured bacterium. RNAcentral's name for it is "partial 16S ribosomal RNA". It matches the Rfam family "Bacterial small subunit ribosomal RNA", at positions 29 to 507 of the family's 1533-position model. The record is from RNAcentral.